GAUGAACGCUAGCGACAGGCUUAACACAUGCAAGUCGAGGGGCAGCACAGGUAGCAAUACCGGGUGGCGACCGGCGCACGGGUGAGUAACGCGUAUGCAACUUACCUAUCAGAGGGGGAUAACCCGGCGAAAGUCGGACUAAUACCGCAUGAAGCAGGGGUCCCGCAUGGGGAUAUUUGCUAAAGAUUCAUCGCUGAUAGAUAGGCAUGCGUUCCAUUAGGCAGUUGGCGGGGUAACGGCCCACCAAACCGACGAUGGAUAGGGGUUCUGAGAGGAAGGUCCCCCACAUGGGUACUGAGACACGGACCAAGCUCCUACGGGAGGCAGCAGUGAGGAAUAUUGGUCAAUGGCCGAGAGGCUGAACCAGCCAAGUCGCGUGAGGGAUGAAGGUUCUAUGGAUCGUAAACCUCUUUUAUAAGGGAAUAAAGUGCGGGACGUGUCCCGUUUUGUAUGUACCUUAUGAAUAAGGAUCGGCUAACUCCGUG
Molecule: ribosomal RNA, 485 nt
Filed under: uncultured bacterium
Lineage: Bacteria
Description: partial 16S ribosomal RNA
Rfam family: Bacterial small subunit ribosomal RNA
Source: RNAcentral